GACGAACGCUGGCGGCGUGCUUAACACAUGCAAGUCGAACGAAGCUUGAUUACGGAUUCUUCGGAUGAAGUAUGAUAUGACUGAGUGGCGGACGGGUGAGUAACGCGUGAGUAACCUGCCCUUCAGAGGGGGAUAGCGUUUGGAAACGAACGGUAAUACCGCAUAAUGUAUUUUGACCGCAUGAUCGAAAUACCAAAGAUUUAUCGCUGAAGGAUGGACUCGCGUCUGAUUAGGUAGUUGGUGGGGUAACGGCCUACCAAGCCGACGAUCAGUAGCCGGACUGAGAGGUUGAGCGGCCACAUUGGGACUGAGACACGGCCCAGACUCCUACGGGAGGCAGCAGUGGGGAAUAUUGCACAAUGGGCGCAAGCCUGAUGCAGCAACGCCGCGUGAAGGAAGACGGUUUUCGGAUUGUAAACUUCUGUUCUUAGUGAAGAAUAAUGACGGUAGCUAAGGAGCAAGCCACGGCUAACUACGUG
This 479-nucleotide ribosomal RNA is filed under the name uncultured bacterium. Its description in RNAcentral is "partial 16S ribosomal RNA". It matches the Rfam family "Bacterial small subunit ribosomal RNA", at positions 28 to 507 of the family's 1533-position model. The record is from RNAcentral.